RNAcentral lists this ribosomal RNA (2915 nucleotides) under Vibrio parahaemolyticus. RNAcentral's name for it is "bacterial LSU rRNA". It matches the Rfam family "Bacterial large subunit ribosomal RNA". The record is from RNAcentral. Lineage: Bacteria; Pseudomonadati; Pseudomonadota; Gammaproteobacteria; Vibrionales; Vibrionaceae.
GUUGUAUGGUUAAGUGACUAAGCGUACACGGUGGAUGCCUUGGCAGUCAGAGGCGAUGAAAGACGUAGUAACUUGCGAUAAGCCCAGAUUAGGUAGUAACAACCAUUUGAGUCUGGGAUUUCUGAAUGGGGAAACCCACKURCAUAAGYAMGUAUCSUUACCUGAAUACAUAGSRUAASGAGGCGAACCGGGGGAACUGAAACAUCUAAGUACCCCGAGGAAAAGAAAUCAACCGAGAUUCCGAAAGUAGCGGCGAGCGAAAUUGGACUAGCCCUUAAGCUUUACACGCGUUAGACGAACGGUCUGGAAAGUCCGACGAUACAGGGUGAUAGUCCCGUAGUUGACGACGUGUGUUCAGUGAAAUCGAGUAGGGCGGGACACGUGAUAUCCUGUCUGAAUAUGGGGGGACCAUCCUCCAAGGCUAAAUACUACUGACUGACCGAUAGUGAACCAGUACCGUGAGGGAAAGGCGAAAAGAACCCCUGUGAGGGGAGUGAAAUAGAACCUGAAACCGUGUACGUACAAGCAGUAGGAGCAGGCUUGUCCUGUGACUGCGUACCUUUUGUAUAAUGGGUCAGCGACUUAUAUUCAGUGGCAAGGUUAACCAUCUAGGGGAGCCGUAGGGAAACCGAGUCUUAACUGGGCGUUCAGUCUCUGGAUAUAGACCCGAAACCAGGUGAUCUAGCCAUGGGCAGGUUGAAGGUUGAGUAACAUCAACUGGAGGACCGAACCGACUAAUGUUGAAAAAUUAGCGGAUGACUUGUGGCUAGGGGUGAAAGGCCAAUCAAACCUGGAGAUAGCUGGUUCUCCCCGAAAGCUAUUUAGGUAGCGCCUCGGACGAAUACUACUGGGGGUAGAGCACUGUUAAGGCUAGGGGGUCAUCCCGACUUACCAACCCUUUGCAAACUCCGAAUACCAGUAAGUACUAUCCGGGAGACACACGGCGGGUGCUAACGUCCGUCGUGGAGAGGGAAACAACCCAGACCGCCAGCUAAGGUCCCAAAUUACUACUAAGUGGGAAACGAUGUGGGAAGGCUCAGACAGCCAGGAUGUUGGCUUAGAAGCAGCCAUCAUUUAAAGAAAGCGUAAUAGCUCACUGGUCGAGUCGGCCUGCGCGGAAGAUGUAACGGGGCUAAGUAGUAAACCGAAGCUGCGGCAAUAUACUUUUGUAUAUUGGGUAGGGGAGCGUUCUGUAAGCGGUUGAAGGUGUGUGGUAACGCAUGCUGGACGUAUCAGAAGUGCGAAUGCUGACAUGAGUAACGAUAAAGGGGGUGAAAAACCUCCUCGCCGGAAGACCAAGGGUUCCUGUCCAACGUUAAUCGGGGCAGGGUAAGUCGACCCCUAAGGCGAGGCCGAAAGGCGUAGUCGAUGGGAAACGGGUUAAUAUUCCCGUACUUCUUACAAUUGCGAUGGGGGGACGGAGAAGGCUAGGUGGGCCUGGCGACGGUUGUCCAGGUUCAAGUGCGUAGGCUUAAGAGUUAGGUAAAUCCGGCUCUUUUUAAGGCUGAGACACGACGUCGAGCAYCUACGGRUGUGAAGUCAUUGAUGCCAUGCUUCCAGGAAAAGCCUCUAAGCUUCAGAUUGUAAGGAAUCGUACCCCAAACCGACACAGGUGGUCGGGUAGAGAAUACCAAGGCGCUUGAGAGAACUCGGGUGAAGGAACUAGGCAAAAUGGUACCGUAACUUCGGGAGAAGGUACGCUCUUGAYGGUGAAGUCCCUCGCGGAUGGAGCUGACGAGAGUCGCAGAUACCAGGUGGCUGCAACUGUUUAUUAAAAACACAGCACUGUGCAAAAUCGUAAGAUGACGUAUACGGUGUGACGCCUGCCCGGUGCCGGAAGGUUAAUUGAUGGGGUUAGACUUCGGUCGAAGCUCUUGAUCGAAGCCCCGGUAAACGGCGGCCGUAACUAUAACGGUCCUAAGGUAGCGAAAUUCCUUGUCGGGUAAGUUCCGACCUGCACGAAUGGCGUAAUGAUGGCCACGCUGUCUCCACCCGAGACUCAGUGAAAUUGAAAUCGCUGUGAAGAUGCAGUGUACCCGCGGCUAGACGGAAAGACCCCGUGAACCUUUACUACAGCUUGGCACUGAACAUUGACCCUACAUGUGUAGGAUAGGUGGGAGGCUUUGAAGCACGUACGCCAGUAUGUGUGGAGCCGUCCUUGAAAUACCACCCUUGUAGUGUUGAUGUUCUAACGUCGACCCCUAAUCGGGGUUGCGGACAGUGCCUGGUGGGUAGUUUGACUGGGGCGGUCUCCUCCCAAAGAGUAACGGAGGAGCACGAAGGUGGGCUAAUCACGGUUGGACAUCGUGAGGUUAGUGCAAUGGCAUAAGCCCGCUUGACUGCGAGAAUGACAAUUCGAGCAGGUGCGAAAGCAGGUCAUAGUGAUCCGGUGGUUCUGAAUGGAAGGGCCAUCGCUCAACGGAUAAAAGGUACUCCGGGGAUAACAGGCUGAUACCGCCCAAGAGUUCAUAUCGACGGCGGUGUUUGGCACCUCGAUGUCGGCUCAUCACAUCCUGGGGCUGAAGUCGGUCCCAAGGGUAUGGCUGUUCGCCAUUUAAAGUGGUACGCGAGCUGGGUUUAGAACGUCGUGAGACAGUUCGGUCCCUAUCUGCCGUGGGCGUUGGAAGAUUGAAGGGGGCUGCUCCUAGUACGAGAGGACCGGAGUGGACGAACCUCUGGUGUUCGGGUUGUGUCGCCAGACGCAUUGCCCGGUAGCUAAGUUCGGAAUCGAUAACCGCUGAAAGCAUCUAAGCGGGAAGCGAGCCCUGAGAUGAGUCUUCCCUGAUACUUUAAGUAUCCUAAAGGGUUGUCGGAGACUACGACGUUGAUAGGUCAGGUGUGUAAGUGCUGUGAGGCAUUGAGCUAACUGAUACUAAUUGCCCGUGAGGCUUAACCAUACAACACCCAAGGGGUUU